RNAcentral lists this long non-coding RNA (4488 nucleotides) under Homo sapiens (human). RNAcentral describes it as "non-protein coding lnc-SWT1-1:5". The record is from RNAcentral. Lineage: Eukaryota; Metazoa; Chordata; Mammalia; Primates; Hominidae.
CCUUCUCGGUGUAACUAGGUCAGCGCAAGGUGAUCCUGAGGAGAUAGGCGGCGCUCGGGGGGCGCCCUCGUUCCUCUUAUCGCGCCUUUGUCCCUCCCUCCGUUCCUUGCCCCGCACCCUCACUUUCGCCGCCCUGUGCGUUGCCUGUCCCGGAACUGGUUCCCUCAAGCCGCCCUCACCUGUUCUGACUUCCCCUCGAGGCACAAUAGCCUGAGAGAUCAGACGUGGGAGAUUAGAUUGCUCGGCGUCAGACCUACUUCUAGGCAACCCCCCCUAGACUGGAGCUGCUCGUCGUGGACAUUAGGAUCUAGUUGGGCAUGAGCCCUUAACUUAAGGGUCGGGGGGGAAGUGGCGGGUGCGGAGAGGAGGCGUGGAGAGUGUGAGGAAGAAGAGAGGCACUCUGAGAAGAAGUCGAACAACUAACCCCUCAUUUGGCCUGGUUUGGGUGAGAAGAUUGAGUCACUUGGGGAAAAAAAUAUUGGAGAAGUCAGAGAAGGUGUAAAUCAGUGGUGCCACAAACACCAGUUUACUUCCACUUUUCACCCCCCGGGUCUGUUUUGUCUGCGUGCAGCUCUCCUCGUGUCGGAGACGCUGAGUCAGUUCUCUACUGGUCUUGCCCUCUUCCGGAAAAAGAAAACACACCUGAGAAGUGGUAGUUCCUAUCCUAACCUACUGGGGCCCUUUAUACCAGGUGCCAAACUUCAUUAUCCACCCCACCACCUUGCCCGGGAGGGAGAUCUGUGAAAGCGAAACGUGAUUUAAGCUGGGAUCUGGCAGCAACUUCGUGGACUCUGAAGGGCACGUGGGAAAGGAGUUUUGAUUGAAGAGUAAUUUUAUGCUGAUUGAAGAAAAGAAGUAAACAGAGUUCCAGAAAGCAACUGCAAAUACUCAUUUUGAAAAAGAAAACAAAACAAAAACAAGGGAGACAUUUUAAAAGGUGCUAAAGCAACAGGACCAGUUGCCAGAGAGCUUAUUUUACCUCCCCAAAACAAGAUUGGUGUUUCAUCCUUGAGUUUAGUACACAGGAUUGUUCUUAUUCUUCUGCAGAUAGAGAGGUGCACUGCUUUAUGCUGCAAGUUGUCUAUAAGACAAGUUUUGUGAGUAUCAAAUAUUUGUAAGCAAAUCAAAUUUCUCCCCCAGUUGAAAUGAUUAUUUCAGAAGAAUUUCUUCUUUGUUUUGAAUUGGACUUCUGAGUUGGACUUCUCAGCAUGAUAAAGAAGAAAGAGCAUUAGAAUAAGAAAGAAGAUUAAGCUUCUUGUUUUGAUUAUGCCCAUAAUCAGCUGUGGGACCCCGGGCUAAUGCACUCCAAAAUCCCACUGUUCUGUGACCUUGCUAUGUGGGGCAUCAGCCUCCUCAUCUCUAAUAUUUUGGAUUUAAGUUAGUUGAUUUUUAUGGUCCCGCAAUGGAAUUCUUUAAACAACUCCACUAAUCCAUGAUACUGUUGCUUUAAAAAUCUUGGUUUUAGCUUUCCUCUAAGGAAUUUAUAGUGACAAUUAUCUACUUUUUUUUUCUUAAAUAAAAAUAGAGGUGGGGUUUUGCCAUGUUGCCCAGGCUGGUCUCAAACUCUUGGGCUCAAGUGAUCUGCCCACCUUGGCCUCCUAAAGUGCUGGGAUGACAGGUGUGAGCCACUGUACCCGGCCAGACCAUAUGUCUCUAGCAUUUUGAUAACAUUCUCUACAAUCUGGGCCCUGUAUAACUCCCCAGUCUUCAGACUACUACUCUCUAUGCUCACAUCUUUGGCGAUUUUAUACUCUUUGCCAAUUUAGAUGCCAUUUGUUUUUUCGUUUCCAGUAGAUUAGUAUGUCCAACCCAGAUUUUGGUAAACCCUAGACUCAUUCUACAGUCUGUGACAUCUCCAUUUGGAUUUCUUAUUGGCAUCUCAGACUCCAUAUGUCUAACCUGGAAUGCCUGAUCUCCAUUGCCUCCUAAACCGGCUUCUCUCACGGCUCUCCCAUCUCGGGGCCCAGCAUCUCAGACCUUUGCCUUGCUUACACCAGACAUUUUGUUGUUAUCUGUACCACCUCCUUCUCGUGCAGUCUACUUGAUGCCACCUAAUUGGUAUCCCUGGCUUCUGCCCUUGUUCUCUUAACGAAUCAUUUUCCAAACAGCAGCCAGAGUGAUCCUUUCAAAAAUGGAUUCAGAAAUCAUGUCACUGCUCUGCCCAAAGUUCCCAAAUGACUUCCCAGUCACUCAGAGCACAAGCUGACGCUCGACACAUCUGGGCCCCGUAAGAUUUUCAUUUCUGCUCCUCCUCCUUUUGCUCACUCUGCCCCUGCCACAUUGGUCUCCUGCUUUCCCGGAACUUGCCCAACAUGUUCCUCCCUCAGGGCCUUCACAUUUGUCAUUUCCUGUCCUAUGAUGCUCUUCCUGCAGAUAUCUACAGCAGCUCCCCGCUGCUCCUUUUGCAGGUUUUUGUUCAGAUGUCAUCUUCCUGGUGAGCUCUUCCCUGAACAACUCCUCACCCCCUCCACCUUGCCCCUGGGACUCCCUUUGACCUUUCUCGGAUUGUUUUCCCUGUAACUCUUGCCACCACCUCAUACAGGGCUUCUCAAGCUUGGCAUGAUUGGCAUUUUGGGACAGUUCUUUGUUGCGGGCUAUUAUCCUGUGCCUUGCAGGAUGUUUAGCAGCAUCACCACCCUCGACCCACUCAAUACCUGCAACUUUCCUCCCUAGGUUGUGACAGCCAGAAAUGUCUCCAGACACUGCCAAAUGUCUCCUGGGGGACAAAACCACCCCUGGUUGAGAAUCUUUGAUAUAAUGUAAAUAUGCAUUUUACCUAUGUAUUUGUUUAUUGUUCCUCCCUUCCCCACCAAUAAAAUAUAAUCUCCAUGAGAACAGGAAUUUUUGUGUCUAUUUUCCACUGAUGUAAUGCAGGCACUCUGAAUAGGGUAUGAUGCAUAGUAGGUGCUCAAACAGAUAUUUCACUGGUGAAUAAAUGAAAUGUGCUCUGACCUUGUUCCUCUGUGCUCAUUAAGCUCUAGCCACACUGACCUUUCUUCCACCUCUCAGACAUCUGAAGCUCCUUCUCACCUUUCAGUCUUUUUCUUUCAGAUCUCACUCCUGGAAAGCUCUAUUCGCAGGUCUCUGUUUACUUGUUACUCAGGUCCAAUAACACCUGCUUAGAGAGGCUUCCCUGAUCACCGUAUCCUACAUGACCCUCCCUGCCAGCCAGAGUCACUGUCUAUAUUGUUACUGUGUUUUAGUUUCUGCAUUACAUUUGUCUUGGAAAUUAUCUUGUUUACGUGGCAGGUGUACAUCUUGCUCCCUUAAAUGAAUGCUCCUUGACCACUCCACAUUAUCUGCUUUGUUUAUUAACGGCAGUAAUCUAAAACAGUAGUCUAAAACAGUGCAAGGCCCAUCGUUGAUGGGCUGAUUAAAUAAGUAUGCCUGUCUUUUAAUCAAUUCAGGGUGGAAGAGAGUCUCUAUAGAAAGGGUUUAAGGGCUGUGUCUGUCAAGGUCCAGUAGCAAAAAAAAAGAAAAAAGAAAAAAAAAGAGUCUGCUCUAGCUAAUUUGAACAGAAAGGGAUUAAUUAGAGAAUGUGGUUCACCAUCGAGAAGGCUGCAGCAACAUCCUCCACAGUGAGCUUUCAGGAACCACCUUGGAAACCACACACUGACUGGGCCACCAAGGUAGAGACUGCUCUUCUUUGAUUGGGAGAACUACAGCCAAGCUGGGACACUGAGGGGUCAGCUGCUGGGUCUGGGACCAAAUGACCACUUCUGGGAAGAUCACACCUGCAUGAAAAGGAGGUCAGCACUACUGGGAACUGACAAGAUCAAGAGACUGGGGUAAUGACUCUGUGUGGUUCUCCCCGUGUACAUGUUAAUAAAAUGUAUAUCCCUUUUCUCCAAUUAAAAAAAAAUUCCCUAGCAAGUUGACUCAGAAGAAAUAAAUGAAUACUCUCAAAAAACUGCGUCAGAAAAACCAGACACUUCCACUCUAGUGUUGGCUAACAGGAAGCGACAAAGCAGCGGAAGCUUAUUUGUCUUGUCUUCUAGCUCUCAUGCCAGUACGCAUGAUUGGUGGAACAAAACCUCGGCUACUAGGAAGUCUGGGAGAUGUGGCUUUUAGCUUUCCAGUCUCUGUAGCAUGGAGGGCACAUUGGGAACAGGUUAGAAUGGCUGUGAGGGCUGCUAAUCCACUAUACAUAGGAUGGACAGAUGAUUGAUUAUUAAAAAGUUAAUGAAUCUUCAAGUUUAUAUUUGCCAGGCAAGAAGGUCUCAGUAAAACCAAACCAAAAAGGGCCAGGCACUAUUACGAGGCUCAUGCCUGUAAUCCCAGCACUUUGGGAGGCCGAGGUGGGCAGAUCACCUGAGGUCAGGAGUUCAAGACCAGCCUGGCCAACAUGGCAAAACCCUGUAUCUACUAAAAAUACAAAAAAAAAAAAAAAAAAAAAAAAAAAGCCAGGCAUAGUGGUGGGUGCCUGUAAUCCCAGCUACUCAGGAGGCUGAGGCAGGCGAAUUGCUUGAAUCAGGGAGCAGGAGGUUG